Long non-coding RNA from Orcinus orca (killer whale), 1006 nucleotides. RefSeq lists it as uncharacterized. The transcript is spliced from 5 exons. The record is from RefSeq and is a predicted model, not a curated record. Lineage: Eukaryota; Metazoa; Chordata; Mammalia; Artiodactyla; Delphinidae.
UUGGUAUAAUUCUUAAUACUGGAGUGAGGAAAAAUGAAUUACAGGAAGUUUUCACAGAUGGUAAAAAAAAAUGCCUUCCUCGGGCCCCGCCCGGCCAGCCCAGGCGCAGCUCCGAGGCGGCGGACAAGGCGCCCGAGCACGGUCGGAGGGGCCGCGCAGCCCUGCCCUCAGGCGCACGGCGGCGGGCGGCGCCGCUCUAGCCCUCACGCUCCCGGGCGCUCCGCCGGGGCAGCCCCACUCCCUCCCCGCGCGCCCUAUGCCCUGCCUGCCAGGCCCCCAACCCAAGCUUGGCGGCCGCACUCACCGCCUCGCUCCGCGCCUGCGCCGCACGCCUCAGGGGCCCGCCGUGAGGGCGGGGAGGUGACUAGUGGUGAAACCAUGCAGCGGUCCUGGGAAGGAGAUCAUUUUGCCCGCCAGCGCCGGCGCCUUCAUUCCACUAGCGUUGUGCCCUGGCAGCGAGGAACUUUUGAUUUGCGCUGGCAGCUGGACAUCAGCUCUCUGUUGACUAAGACAACUCUACUGAAAACCAACUUAUAGAAAAGUCAAAAACCGGAAAGACAUAAUUAUUUAUGAUGAUCACUAAUCACAGUGAAACACCACCUCCUGGAGGCAGUGGAUGGGAACUCUUGGGGUGUCCCAAGUAGACCGUCUGCUUUGAGAAGUUUCCUUUUUUUGUGAAGUCAUUUUAUUUUCAGACAAGAUUUGAAUGAAGCUGUACAUGCUCUGGAUGCCUUACUUGCAUGUGUUCGCUCCCCACCUAGGUGAGGUAAGGCAGUUACUUAUCUUCCCUUACGGCCAGUGUUGGAGACUCAGAGAACAUAGGUAUGUAUUACGUCGUAGACUUUGCAGUGAAAUGAGCAUUAGACUGUUUAGGCUGCACAAUAAUAGAAUUAAUUCUUUUUUUAAUUCUGCUAAGCUCUCUUUCUUUCUGCUUUCCUCUAAAUGUACAGGAAAUCUAUUGGAUAAAAAUCACCUCUAAAGUUCUUAUUUCUUGUCAAAGACAGCA